GAUCCAGUGGCCUAGUGGUUAGAGCAUCCGCCUCAGAUGCGAGAGGUCGUGGGUUCGAUCCCCAGUCGAGUCA
Non-coding RNA from Potamilus streckersoni, 73 nucleotides. Lineage: Eukaryota; Metazoa; Mollusca; Bivalvia; Unionida; Unionidae. The record is from the annotation of a GenBank genome assembly.